UACGAAGGGGGCUAGCGUUGUUCGGAAUUACUGGGCGUAAAGCGCACGUAGGCGGAUAUUUAAGUCAGGGGUGAAAUCCCAGAGCUCAACUCUGGAACUGCCUUUGAUACUGGGUAUCUUGAGUAUGGAAGAGGUAAGUGGAAUUGCGAGUGUAGAGGUGAAAUUCGUAGAUAUUCGCAGGAACACCAGUGGCGAAGGCGGCUCACUGGACGACUGUUGACGCUGAGGUACGAAAGCGUGGGGAGCAAACAGGGA
Molecule: ribosomal RNA, 255 nt
Filed under: uncultured bacterium
Lineage: Bacteria
Description: partial 16S ribosomal RNA
Rfam family: Bacterial small subunit ribosomal RNA
Source: RNAcentral